RNAcentral lists this transfer-messenger RNA (410 nucleotides) under Candidatus Ancaeobacter aquaticus. It matches the Rfam family "transfer-messenger RNA". Rfam says of the family: Bacterial tmRNA, also known as 10Sa RNA or SsrA, is named for its dual tRNA and mRNA-like properties. Its role is to liberate the mRNA from a stalled ribosome. The record is from RNAcentral. Lineage: Bacteria; Pseudomonadati; Candidatus Auribacterota; Candidatus Ancaeobacteria; Candidatus Ancaeobacterales; Candidatus Ancaeobacteraceae.
GGGGGUGAUUCGGAUUCGACUUGUGAUUGCAGAGUAUAAUUGCAUGCGGAGGGUGUCAGGUGGCCUCCUAAAAACCUGGCAAACACAUAAAUGCUGACAAAGGUAAAAUUAUACCCUUUGAGAAUAUUGUGCCAGCCAUUAAGGCUCCAUCAAUUAAUCUUGGGGUGUUAGCUAACGCUGCUUAAUUAAGUAGCUCGUCUAUGGUGAUGUGCCUGUUCAUUAUUAUAGACGCCGAUUAAUAGGCUAGUUUCUCAUUAUGCGGCGGGGUGAGAAGCGAACUUUACGCUGCUGAUCUCCUUUAAGGUUUUUCUAUUAUCCUUUGGGAGAUGAGAACUAAAGAUAGAAUAAGCAUGUAGACGUUAUAUUCGAGCCGCUCAAGGACGCGGGUUCAACUCCCGCCACCUCCACCA